RNAcentral lists this ribosomal RNA (466 nucleotides) under uncultured bacterium. Its description in RNAcentral is "bacterial SSU rRNA". It matches the Rfam family "Bacterial small subunit ribosomal RNA", at positions 97 to 520 of the family's 1533-position model. The record is from RNAcentral.
GGCAAACGGGUGAGUAAACGCGUGGGCGUACCUACCUUCGAGUGGGGGAAUAACCCUUACCGAAAAGGAGGGCGUAAUUACCGCAUGACAUCCUCGUGUUUGGAUACACGGACUAUCAAAGUCAGGGGUAUCUGCCAAGACCUUGACCGCUUGAAGAGGGGCCCGCUGUCCGAUUAGCUAGUUGGUGGGGUAACUGGCUCACCAAGGCUCCGAUCUGGUAUCCGGCCUUGAGUAGGGCGGACGGACACACUGGAACUGAGACACGGUCCAGACUCAUAACGGGAGGCAGCAGUGGGGAAUUGUUCGCAAUGGGCGCAAGCCUGACGACGCAACGCCGCGUGGAGGAUGAAGACCUUCGGGUCGUAAACUCCUUUCGACCGAGAUGAAUUCCUGCCGGCCUAACACGCCGGCGGGGUGACAGUAUCGAGGGAAGCAGCCCCGGCUAACUCCGUGCCAGCCGCCGCGG